RNAcentral lists this ribosomal RNA (467 nucleotides) under uncultured bacterium. Its description in RNAcentral is "partial 16S ribosomal RNA". It matches the Rfam family "Bacterial small subunit ribosomal RNA", at positions 28 to 506 of the family's 1533-position model. The record is from RNAcentral.
GACGAACGCUGGCGGCGUGCUUAACACAUGCAAGUCGAACGGAAAGGCCCUGCUUUUGUGGGGUGCUCGAGUGGCGAACGGGUGAGUAACACGUGAGUAACCUGCCCUUGACUUUGGGAUAACUUCAGGAAACUGGGGCUAAUACCGGAUAGGAGCUCCUGCUGCAUGGUGGGGGUUGGAAAGUUUCGGCGGUUGGGGAUGGACUCGCGGCUUAUCAGCUUGUUGGUGGGGUAGUGGCUUACCAAGGCUUUGACGGGUAGCCGGCCUGAGAGGGUGACCGGCCACAUGGGGACGGAGAUACGGCCCAGACUCCUACGGGAGGAAGCAGUGGGGAAUAUUGCACAAUGGGCGGAAGCCGGAUGCAGCAACGCCGCGUGCGGGAUGACGGCCUUCGGGUGGUAAACCGCUUUCGCCUGUGACGAAGCGUGAGUGACGGUAAUGGGGAAAGAAGCACCGGCUAACUACGU